CGGGAUGUGGCGCAGUCCGGUUAGCGCACUCGUUUAGGGUACGAGAGGCCGUGGGUUCAAAUCCCGCCAUCCCGA
Candidatus Amoebophilus asiaticus 5a2 is the source of this 75-nucleotide transfer RNA. It matches the Rfam family "tRNA". From Rfam's summary of the family: Transfer RNA (tRNA) molecules are approximately 80 nucleotides in length. Their secondary structure includes four short double-helical elements and three loops (D, anti-codon, and T loops). The record is from Rfam. NCBI's taxonomy places the organism in Bacteria, Pseudomonadati, Bacteroidota, Cytophagia, Cytophagales, Amoebophilaceae.